RNAcentral lists this ribosomal RNA (492 nucleotides) under uncultured bacterium. RNAcentral describes it as "partial 16S ribosomal RNA". It matches the Rfam family "Bacterial small subunit ribosomal RNA", at positions 29 to 507 of the family's 1533-position model. The record is from RNAcentral.
AGUGAACGCUGGCGGUAGGCCUAACACAUGCAAGUCGAACGGCAGCACAGUAAUAGCUUGCUCUUACGGGUGGCGAGUGGCGGACGGGUGAGGAAUACAUCGGAAUCUACUUUUUCGUGUGGGUUCACGUAGGUAAACUUACGCUAAUACCGCAUACGACCUACGGUUGAAAGCAGUGGAUCUUCGGACCUUGCGCGAUUGAAUGAGCCGCUGUCGGUUUAGCUAGUUGGCGGGGUAAAGGCCCACCAAGUCGACGAUCCGUAGCUGGUCUGAGAGGAUGAUAAGCCACACUGGAACGGAGACAGGGUCAAGACUCCUAAGGGAGGCAGCAGUGGGGAAUAUUGGACAAUGGGCGCAAGCAUGAUACAGCCAUAGCGCGUGGGUGAAGAAGGCGUUCGGGUUGUAAAGACCUUUUGUGGGGAAAGAAAAGCAGCAGGUUAAUACCCAGCUGUUCUGACGGUACCGAAAGAAUAAGCACCGGCUAACUUCGUG